Molecule: long non-coding RNA, 351 nt
Organism: Ornithodoros turicata
Lineage: Eukaryota; Metazoa; Arthropoda; Arachnida; Ixodida; Argasidae
Exons: 2
Source: RefSeq, a predicted model, not a curated record
UGCUCUUCUCUCUUAGCCUCUCGCAGGUGGCGGUAGGAGCGCGCAGAGGGCGCUACGAGCGCGCGCAUGCGUAGCACCCGUAGAGUGGCGCUUACGUCAGUCCACCUCUGGCUCUCGUUGGGAGAAGACGUGCGGUCGUUCGCUCCGUCGUCACUUGAUCCCUGGCUGUCGACGAGAGCGGACGCUCCGUCGCAGCGGGGAAAAAGAGCUACGAUGCUGGCGCCAUCUGGUGUGAUGCCUUGGAACUAGCGUGCCACCUGCCUCUGCAACCGUCGUGCUCCAGUCGCCCGCACCGGCGUGAUUUCUUCAAGAUGGCGUCGUUGAUUUUCAAAUAAAUCAUUUCCCACUGUC